Molecule: ribosomal RNA, 253 nt
Filed under: uncultured bacterium
Lineage: Bacteria
Description: partial 16S ribosomal RNA
Rfam family: Bacterial small subunit ribosomal RNA
Source: RNAcentral
UACGAAGGGGACUAGCGUUGUUCGGAAUCACUGGGCGUAAAGCGCACGUAGGCGGAUUUGUAAGUCAGGGGUGAAAGCCCAGGGCUCAACCCUGGAAUUGCCUUUGAUACUGAUUGUCUUGAGUAUGGGAGAGGUGUGUGGAACUCCGAGUGUAGAGGUGAAAUUCGUAGAUAUUCGGAAGAACACCAGUGGCGAAGGCGACACACUGGCCCAUUACUGACGCUGAGGCUCGAAAGCGUGGGGAGCAAACAGG